This 29-nucleotide non-coding RNA is filed under the name Rattus norvegicus (Norway rat). Lineage: Eukaryota; Metazoa; Chordata; Mammalia; Rodentia; Muridae. The record is from RNAcentral.
UGCUAGGGAGUUUCUAUGUCGCUAUGCCU